RNAcentral lists this ribosomal RNA (378 nucleotides) under uncultured eukaryote. RNAcentral's name for it is "partial 18S ribosomal RNA". It matches the Rfam family "Eukaryotic small subunit ribosomal RNA", at positions 592 to 976 of the family's 1831-position model. The record is from RNAcentral.
CAAUAGCGUAUAUUUAAGUUGUUGCAGUUAAAAAGCUCGUAGUUGGAUUUCGGGUGGGACGCAGCGGUCUCGCAUUGCGUUUGUACUGCUGCAGCCCUCCUUCUUGCCGGGGGCGGCCUCUCGGACUUCACUGUCUGGGGGUCAGAAUCGGCGAUGUUACUUUGAGUAAAUUAGGGUGUUCAAAGCAAGCUUACGCUCUGAAUAUAAUAGCAUGGGAUAACACGACAGGACUCUGGCCUAUCGUGUUGGUCUAUAGGACCAGAGUAAUGAUUAAGAGGGACAGUCGGGGGCAUUCGUAUUCCGUUGUCAGAGGUGAAAUUCUUGGAUUUACGGAAGACGAACAUCUGCGAAAGCAUUUGCCAAGGAUGUUUUCAUUGA